Chrysemys picta bellii (western painted turtle) is the source of this 73-nucleotide non-coding RNA. Lineage: Eukaryota; Metazoa; Chordata; Testudines; Emydidae. The record is from the annotation of a RefSeq genome assembly.
GGCCGGCUAGCUCAGUCGGUAGAGCAUGAGACUAUUAAUUUCAGGGUUGUGGGUUCAUGCCCCAUAUUGGGCA